This 74-nucleotide transfer RNA is filed under the name Deltaproteobacteria bacterium. Its description in RNAcentral is "tRNA-Arg". It matches the Rfam family "tRNA". Rfam says of the family: Transfer RNA (tRNA) molecules are approximately 80 nucleotides in length. Their secondary structure includes four short double-helical elements and three loops (D, anti-codon, and T loops). The record is from RNAcentral. Lineage: Bacteria; Pseudomonadati; Myxococcota; Myxococcia.
GCACCCAUAGCUCAGUUGGAUAGAGCGACGGUCUACGAAACCGUAGGUCGCAUGUUCGAAUCAUGCUGGGUGCA